This 1383-nucleotide ribosomal RNA is filed under the name uncultured bacterium. Its description in RNAcentral is "bacterial SSU rRNA". It matches the Rfam family "Bacterial small subunit ribosomal RNA", at positions 18 to 1395 of the family's 1533-position model. The record is from RNAcentral.
CCUGGCUCAGGAUGAACGCUAGCUACAGGCUUAACACAUGCAAGUCGAGGGGCAGCAUUUCAGUUUGCUUGCAAACUGGAGAUGGCGACCGGCGCACGGGUGAGUAACACGUAUCCAACCUGCCGAUAACUCGGGGAUAGCCUUUCGAAAGAAAGAUUAAUACCCGAUGGCAUAAUUAGACCGCAUGGUCUUAUUAUUAAAGAAUUUCGGUUAUCGAUGGGGAUGCGUUCCAUUAGGCAGUUGGUGAGGUAACGGCUCACCAAACCUUCGAUGGAUAGGGGUUCUGAGAGGAAGGUCCCCCACAUUGGAACUGAGACACGGUCCAAACUCCUACGGGAGGCAGCAGUGAGGAAUAUUGGUCAAUGGACGAGAGUCUGAACCAGCCAAGUAGCGUGAAGGAUGACUGCCCUAUGGGUUGUAAACUUCUUUUAUAUGGGAAUAAAGUUUUCCACGUGUGGAAUUUUGUAUGUACCAUAUGAAUAAGGAUCGGCUAACUCCGUGCCAGCAGCCGCGGUAAUACGGAGGAUCCGAGCGUUAUCCGGAUUUAUUGGGUUUAAAGGGAGCGUAGGUGGACAGUUAAGUCAGUUGUGAAAGUUUGCGGCUCAACCGUAAAAUUGCAGUUGAUACUGGCUGUCUUGAGUACAGUAGAGGUGGGCGGAAUUCGUGGUGUAGCGGUGAAAUGCUUAGAUAUCACGAAGAACUCCGAUUGCGAAGGCAGCUCACUGGACUGCAACUGACACUGAUGCUCGAAAGUGUGGGUAUCAAACAGGAUUAGAUACCCUGGUAGUCCACACAGUAAACGAUGAAUACUCGCUGUUUGCGAUAUACAGUAAGCGGCCAAGCGAAAGCAUUAAGUAUUCCACCUGGGGAGUACGCCGGCAACGGUGAAACUCAAAGGAAUUGACGGGGGCCCGCACAAGCGGAGGAACAUGUGGUUUAAUUCGAUGAUACGCGAGGAACCUUACCCGGGCUUAAAUUGCAUUUGAAUAUAUUGGAAACAGUAUAGCCGUAAGGCAAAUGUGAAGGUGCUGCAUGGUUGUCGUCAGCUCGUGCCGUGAGGUGUCGGCUUAAGUGCCAUAACGAGCGCAACCCUUAUCUUUAGUUACUAACAGGUCAUGCUGAGGACUCUAGAGAGACUGCCGUCGUAAGAUGUGAGGAAGGUGGGGAUGACGUCAAAUCAGCACGGCCCUUACGUCCGGGGCUACACACGUGUUACAAUGGGGGGUACAGAAGGCAGCUACCUGGUGACAGGAUGCUAAUCCCAAAAGCCUCUCUCAGUUCGGAUCGAAGUCUGCAACCCGACUUCGUGAAGCUGGAUUCGCUAGUAAUCGCGCAUCAGCCAUGGCGCGGUGAAUACGUUCCCGGGCCUUGCACACACCGCCC